GAACUGCGAUAAGUCAUGUGAAUUGCAGAAUUCCGUGAAUCAUCGAAAUCUUGAACGCAAAUUGCAUUCUGGUGUUGAGCCAGAGUGUGCCUGCUCGAGUGUCGUCAAUAAAUACUCCUUCAAUAAGCUCUUUUGCUUAUUGAAUGUGUUUGAAAGUUCAUUUCAACGAUGAUCUUUUAAAAUGAAUGGUGUAUAAUUUGUGUAAUGAAGUAUGAUACUCUGGUAUCGUUUCCUUACGAACAAAUUAUCGAAUGAACUAAGUAAUACUCUUACUCAUCAUUUGAUAUGUUUCGUUCUGAUAUCGUUACCUUUCAUAUGUUCGACAUGAAUGAAAGCCUUGUUUACUCUUUCUCUAACAGAAAGUUUGUCGUAAACAAUUUUCAAAACCUCGACCUCGAUU
This 400-nucleotide unclassified non-coding RNA is filed under the name uncultured fungus. RNAcentral describes it as "sequence contains ITS1". The stretch from base 1 to 104 matches the Rfam family "5.8S ribosomal RNA", at positions 50 to 154 of the family's 154-position model. Lineage: Eukaryota; Fungi. The record is from RNAcentral.